Long non-coding RNA from Drosophila gunungcola (fruit fly), 1384 nucleotides. RefSeq lists it as uncharacterized. NCBI's taxonomy places the organism in Eukaryota, Metazoa, Arthropoda, Insecta, Diptera, Drosophilidae. The transcript has 3 exons. The record is from RefSeq and is a predicted model, not a curated record.
UGGCUGCAUUGUGGCGUCGGACAAAAGCCUUACUCAAAAGUAUCAAAUCCAUAUUGUCAGCGCCGUUAAGACUCAAUAGUCAUUGGAAAUUGGAACGGAUUUCGGUUGUCAGCUUAAAUCAAUCGUGUAUCUUCUUAUAGUUUUAGAGGCGGAAUGAUUUAAUUAUUGUAGAGCGCUUAGGGAAAUUCCAAUGUUAUUGGUUGUGUCUCCAUUUGGACCCCGCAUCUUUAAUCGGUUUACAGCAUUCUCAAAGCCCAGAUCAAUGGGCAGAGUAUAUAUACCCACGUUUUUAUUGAGAAACUGUCGACAUUCGAAAAGUCACGGCCUUUAUGCUUGGCCAGCUUAAGCGUGUUUUCUAUUGUUUACCUAAAUUUGUUUAAACUUACACUUACUCUGGGGAACGGAAUGCUGAUCUUAUAGAAAUAAUUCUUAAAUAUUGUUUGCAGAACUUGUAUAAAAUUAUAGGUGUCUGCCUGAAGUCUCACCUGAACGAUGAUGUUUUCCAAACCUGAGCGAAAUCCACAAUUAUGCUAAUUUCAGCAGACACACUUAACAUAAGAACAUGUGUUUCGAGCAUUUAGCACAUUGCCUUUUUACCUUUGCGCACUACCAUGAUAUCUGACCGAAGAUUCUCGGCCUGAUCCCAGAAAGAGCUGAGCUGGCAAACAAAUAAAAUGAUAAUAACAUGUUAUUAUGCAGACAACGAUCACACUGGAAAGUAAAACAAUGAUGGGACUAAAACAGAGUGCAGCAGACGGUUGUUCGGACUUUUUCCAGUCGAUAGGUGAUGUGCAGCUUUCGCGAAGAAGUAAAACCCACAUUUCCGUAUUUAACCAUGUGGAACUGCGAUCCCAAAACAUGUCCAGGUCUCUCAACCAAAGACAGUUCAUUGUUUUUCGAAAUUAAAUUUGCCAACAUCUCUCAAUCAAACGUGGAUGUGUAUGUUUUGCACCGAAAGGAAGAGUGAUAAAUAAAUUGGCCAACCAAAUUGCACGAAUAACUAAUUUUAGGUCGGCAAAAACAAUUAGCUUGAACUGUUGAGAUGAUUUAUUCCUUUCGGAGGCGCAUAACUACAAAGUAGUUUUUAUCAGGAAAUCCCAUUUGUUUUACACAACGGGGGAACGAGUAUGUCACCUUUGCGGCAUGGUAAUUAUAAUGCACUCUUUCAACAAUUAUUUCGUUAAUGCUGUCACAAAUAUUGUGACACGUGGCCAUAUCCCAACACUUCAGCGGCCUUCCCUUUGAUUUAAACUGUAUUUUUGCAGCAAAUUAAGAGAUCAAAGCGUUUCCUGACAUAUGCAAGCCGACUCUUAUUUACCUCAGAUACAUUCACACAUCUGUAGCUAAAGUGUGUUCUAUAUACACAAAAUAUGAAAUGCACACU